AUGGAUGAGAGCCCUUCAGUAGGUACUCCAAAAAUACUCCCUAGAACACCCUCAUCAUUCAAAAAAUCUACUCCAUUGACCUUCAAGCAAAUGUUAUCAUCUUUCACUAUAAACAUAUAUGUGUAGAAUCUACGAGCCUCCUCCUUUUGGGACUUAAAUUGGUGAACAAAUGAGUCCACUUUUGAAAUUCACAUAUGUCAAACAACUGCUUCCUAAGCCUUUAUUUGCUUUCAACCUUUGCCACAGUCACUUGGCUUUCACAGAGGAAACAGGUUCCUCUUUGUCACUAGCCUUCCUCUUCACGGACUUCUUUUUAUUUUUCUCAUUCUUUUCAAUCUUCUCACCAGAUUUCACACCAGACUGGUCUCCCCCCCAACAAUUUUCACUUCAUCAACCUCUAUAGCUUUCAUAGAUGAACCUCUCUUGGGCUUUGGAAUCACAGAUUUCUUAGAGGAUUUACGAAUUAAGGAAGCAGGUUCCUCAUUCAUCCAUUCAUCAUCAACAUGGAAACUAUUUGAUGGAGGCACAUUCUCCUCAUUCACUAGGUUUACCCCUUUCACAAACCUUCUUCUUUUCUUUUCCUUUUGUUUUUCUUUCAGAAAAGUCUCAUAAGCUUCUUUCUUUUGUAGCCUGGUAGUGGGUCUUUUAAGAUCUGGCUAUUUGGGAACUGCCCUACCACUUCUAGCAACAAUGAAUCUUGCCACAUUCACAUUAUCAUAUUUUUCCUUACUAUAUUAACUUUCCUCUUUAGAAAGAGGUCUCAUUUCAGGAAUAACAAAGUUCAUUGGCACAACAUUAAAGUGAGGAGAAGGAGCAGUGUCAAUACUGUAACGACCUGGCUAGUCGUCUCAUAAGUUACCACUUUGUUUCCCCCAUUUCUUCUUCUUAUUGCUUCGUUUAUCAGUUCUAUGUGUGAUCCGAUUGGCUUGCUCGGUUUUGGGAAGGAUUUGGUAAGGUUUGAGACACUUAGUCCCUUUUUAGUAAGCUUAAGUUGGAAAAGUCAACCAGAUGUUGACUUAUGUAUUAGAGGGAUCGGAUGUGAGUUCUGAUGGUUUGGAUAGCUUUGAUAGGUGAUUUGGGACUUAGGAACGUGAUCAGAACGAGUUUUGGAGGUUCGGAGUAGAUUUAGG
This 1130-nucleotide long non-coding RNA is filed under the name Nicotiana benthamiana. RNAcentral's name for it is "long non-coding RNA (NBEN_LNC042204)". The record is from RNAcentral. Lineage: Eukaryota; Viridiplantae; Streptophyta; Magnoliopsida; Solanales; Solanaceae.